ACUCAAAUGAAUAGACGGGGACCCGCACAAGCGGUGGAACAUGUGGUUUAAUUCGACGCUAAGCGUGGAACCUCACCAAGGUUUGACAUAGAGCUGCACGAUCAUGGAAACAUGAUCUCCUUCGAGGGUGCUCUACAGGUGCUGCAUGGUUGUCGUCAGCUCGUGCUGUGAAGUGUACCCUUAAGUGGGGUAACGAGCGCAACCCCUAUGUCGUGUUACAAUGUCACGACAGACUGCCUCGGCCAACGGGGAGGAAGGUGGGGAUGACGUCAAAUCAGCAUGGCUCUUACACCUUGGGCUACACACGUGUUACAAUGGGUUGUACAAUGGGCCGCCAAGUCGCGAGACGGAGCUAACCCCAACAAAGCAACCCCCAGUUCGGAUUGGAGUCUGCAAUUCGACUCCAUGAAGCCGGAAUCGCUAGUAAACGCGCAUCAGACACGGCGCGUUGAAUACGUUCUCGGGUCUUGUACACACCGCCCGU
RNAcentral lists this ribosomal RNA (484 nucleotides) under uncultured bacterium. Its description in RNAcentral is "partial 16S ribosomal RNA". It matches the Rfam family "Bacterial small subunit ribosomal RNA", at positions 899 to 1397 of the family's 1533-position model. The record is from RNAcentral.